CGCCAAUACCACGUUGAAAGCACUGGUUCUCGUCCGAUCACCAAAGUUAAGCAACGUUGGGCCCAGUUGGUACUUGGAUGAGUGACCGGCUGGGAAUACCGGCUUUCUUGUGC
This 113-nucleotide ribosomal RNA is filed under the name Trichobilharzia regenti. The record is from RNAcentral. Lineage: Eukaryota; Metazoa; Platyhelminthes; Trematoda; Strigeidida; Schistosomatidae.